UAACAGGUUUGAACUGAAGAGUUUGAUCCUGGCUCAGAUUGAACGCUGGCGGCAUGCCUUACACAUGCAAGU
RNAcentral lists this ribosomal RNA (72 nucleotides) under Burkholderia ubonensis. RNAcentral describes it as "partial 16S ribosomal RNA". Lineage: Bacteria; Pseudomonadati; Pseudomonadota; Betaproteobacteria; Burkholderiales; Burkholderiaceae. The record is from RNAcentral.